Molecule: ribosomal RNA, 803 nt
Filed under: Rhyncaphytoptus taihangensis
Lineage: Eukaryota; Metazoa; Arthropoda; Arachnida; Trombidiformes; Diptilomiopidae
Description: partial 18S ribosomal RNA
Rfam family: Eukaryotic small subunit ribosomal RNA
Source: RNAcentral
ACAAGCCUGAGAAACGGCUAGUAGGACUAAGGUCUGCAGCAGGCGCGAAACUUACACAAUGCUAGAUUACAAUUAGCGAUGUAGUGAAGAAAAAUAACGAUGUACUUCCAUUUAAACAUGGUAGUACAAUUGGAAUGAGACGACUCUAAACCAGUUAGUCGAGUAACAAAUGGAGGGCAAGUCUGGUGCCAGCAGCCGCGGUAAUUCCAGCUCCAUUAGCAUACAUUAAAGUUGUUGCGGUUAAAAAGCUCGUAGUUGAAUUUCGCGUGGGCUCUAUUGGGGCGCAGCCGUCAAGGCGCCGCGGCAACCCUAACCGGUUCCCGGCGCUGGCUGUCGUCUUCCACUAGGAGCCCACUGUUUCGUCACUUAAUCGAGUGCGAAGCGGGCUGGAACGAGGCUUCACGCUCCGGCGUGGCCUGUUACAGCAAGUUUACCUUGAGAAAAUUAGAGUGCUCACAGCAGGCAGUUGGGAGGUAAAAGUCCCUUUAUGCUUGAAUAAUGUUGCAUGGAAUAAUAGAAUACGGCCUCGGUUCUAUUCUGUUGGUCUUAUAGAACAACAAACAAGUUGGUUAGGGCGACCAAAAGUCCUCUUUGAGUGUGGUUUCGCGCAGACUCUUGCCGGAGGCAUCUAUGCGCCAGUGUGUUGCCUGGGCCCUCAAAAGCUCAGCGCCGCCUGGCGCUAGUGUCGACGCUCCAGCCUGCCGUCACCAUCAAAAGCACUCCUAGAGCGGCUAGCUCUUCAACCAACUGAGGCAAUGGUUAAAAGAAAUAGUCGCGGCGGCAUCAGUACUGCAUCGUGAGAG